Molecule: unclassified non-coding RNA, 264 nt
Filed under: plant metagenome
Description: partial contains small subunit ribosomal RNA, internal transcribed spacer 1, and 5.8S ribosomal RNA
Source: RNAcentral
UCUCCGUUGGUGAACCAGCGGAGGGAUCACUACCGAGUUUACAACUCCCAAACCCAAUGUGAACGUUACCAAACUGUUGCCUCGGCGGGAUCUCUGCCCCGGGUGCGUCGCAGCCCCGGACCAAGGCGCCCGCCGGAGGACCAACCAAAACUCUUAUUGUAUACCCCCUCGCGGGUUUUUUUUUAUAACCUGAGCCUUCUCGGCGCCUCUCGUAGGCGUUUCGAAAAUGAAUCAAAACUUUCAACAACGGAUCUCUUGGUUCUG